CACAACAUUUGGAUUUGGAGUAAGGCACAUCAGUGCUGCAACAAGGAUACAAAGGAAUAGCAGGAAAAAGAGAGAAAAAGGGAAAGAUUAUUCUGUGGCUGGGCACAGCUUUCAUGAAACCACGUGAGCCUGAAAGAAUGCAAUAUUUCUAUGAAGCUCUGUUAAUUUUUUUCUU
Molecule: long non-coding RNA, 175 nt
Organism: Chiroxiphia lanceolata (lance-tailed manakin)
Lineage: Eukaryota; Metazoa; Chordata; Aves; Passeriformes; Pipridae
Exons: 3
Source: RefSeq, a predicted model, not a curated record